RNAcentral lists this ribosomal RNA (425 nucleotides) under uncultured bacterium. RNAcentral's name for it is "partial 16S ribosomal RNA". It matches the Rfam family "Bacterial small subunit ribosomal RNA", at positions 354 to 796 of the family's 1533-position model. The record is from RNAcentral.
GUUAGGAAUAUUGGACAAUGGGCGCAAGCCUGAUCCAGCCAUGCCGCGUGAACGAUGAAGGCCUUCGGGUUGUAAAGUUCUUUAGCCGAUGAUUAUAAUGACUGUAGUCGGAAAAUAAGCCCCGGCUAACUUCGUGCCAGCAGCCGCGGUAAUACGAAGGGGGCGAGCGUUAUUCGGAAUCACUGGGCGUAAAGCGUGCGUAGGCGGUCUCGUAAGUUAGGAGUGAAAGCCCAGGGCUCAACCUUGGAAUUGCUCUUAAAACUGCAAGGCUAGAAUCUCGGAGAGGAUAGCGGAAUUUCCAGUGUAGCAGUGAAAUGCGUAGAUAUUGGAAGGAACACCAGUGGCGUAAGCGGCUAUCUGGACGAGUAUUGACGCUGAGGCACGAAAGCGUGGGGAUCAAACAGGAUUAGAUACCCUAGUAGUCC